Molecule: ribosomal RNA, 402 nt
Filed under: bacterium
Lineage: Bacteria
Description: partial 16S ribosomal RNA
Rfam family: Bacterial small subunit ribosomal RNA
Source: RNAcentral
UGGGGAAUUUUGCACAAUGGGGGAAACCCUGAUGCAGCGACGCCGCGUGAUUUAGAAGGCCUUCGGAUUGUAAAAAUCUUUUCUAUGGGAAGAAAAUGACAGUACCAUAGGAAUAAGGACCGGCUAAUUACGUGCCAGCAGCCGCGGUAAUACGUAAGGUCCGAGCGUUGUCCGGAAUCAUUGGGCGUAAAGGGUACGUAGGCGGGUAAGCAAGUUAGAAGUGAAAUCCUAUAGCUCAACUAUAGUAAGCUUUUAAAACUGCUCAUCUUGAGGUAUGGAAGGGAAAGUGGAAUUCCUAGUGUAGCGGUGAAAUGCGCAGAUAUUAGGAGGAAUACCGGUGGCGAAGGCGACUUUCUGGCCAUAACCUGACGCUGAGGUACGAAAGCGUGGGUAGCAAACAGG